GCCCCUUCACGCCCCCCUCCCCCGCCGCCAACCCAACCUCCCCAUCCCCAUCCCCUUCCGCAUCGCCGCCGCUCAGACGAACUCGCCGCCGGCCAUGGCCACCCCCACCCUCCCCUCUCCUCUCCUCUCCUCCUCCCCUCCACUCAUCACUAGGCAUGACAAGACCCGAGUAAAGAGGGAGAUCCACCGCUCCCGAGAGCACGUCAGGCGGCUGCCAUGGCACGCCCAGAUCCGCCAUUGCCGCCGUCGUCGAGCUCCUCUGCUCCCAGCGCCGGAUCCACCUCCAUCUCGACAACUGCGCAACAGCAGGCGCUGCCACCGACGCCUUCUACACCCCAAGCGACGGUGGCGCCCAGAUAACACGGCUCGUCUCCUCUUCGGAGGAGCCACCGUGGCCGGGCUUCCGCGAGAAGCAGAGGACCGCCGCCGGCUGGAGCUACUUGUCCAGGGCCACCGAGCUCCCCCCCCCCCCCCCCCCCCCCCAAGCGGCCCCAACCGGCGACCUCUCCCUUCCUGUCCAGCUUCCUCCAUGGCUGCUCUACUUCAACACGACAUGGACGGAUGCCACAUCCACCGAGCCACGGACGCCAUGGACGGAGGUCCAACCCUUUAGCAGCAGGCCGCCAUUUUCAUUGAUUUGAGGAAUUCCUGCAAGUGAUUGAUGGUGUGCAGGCCAUGGAGGGCUUCAACCCAUCAAGGCUUUGUAUGUGAAAUCCCCAGAGUUGAGUGAUCUGAACCUCAACUAUUGUACAAACCUACACCCAGGUAUUAUGUCCUUAGCUUUUUCAUCAGGUUGUCAGGUUGUCAAGUCUGCCACACAAGGUGCCCCCAUGGGUGUAGAUUUAUCCAUUGGCUACCCAUUGGAGCAUCACUUGCAGGACUCUCUGUUUACACACAAAAUUGAUGUAGCUUUUCUAGCCUUCUGUGUAUAACUACCUUUUUUUCAUAGUUGUAUCAAGUAAGGAUUACUUUAUCCAUACAUUGUUGGCAUAAAAUUGAUGCUCAGUCUUGUGGCAGACUUUGUGCAUUAUAAGACACUUGCCCCAGAUCCAAUUCGUCGAUGGAGUUAGAACAAUUCCGUACAACAGAGUAUUAGGUAAUUUAUGUUCUAACCAUGUUAUUAUUAUUGCAGAACCAAAUACAAAUGCUUAAUCUGAGCCAUUUCUCACUCCAUUUCCUCUAGGUGUCUACCAAUUAUUGUUUGUCUUCUUAAGUGAAUGAGCUGCUGGUCAUACUUUAACCACACGUCAAUUGCAGGAGUGCGACAGCGCCAUCCUGUGCCACAAACCAUGCGAAGAAUUAUGGGUGGUGUAAUCCUAUGCUAGCUAGGGUGCUAGACAGAUUUAAUAAACUCUUUGGAGCUCAUCUUUUGCCUGAAACGCUAAAACUAACCUGACACAGCAGUGACUAAUGAUUAAUACAAUGGAGUGCAUUUGAUCCACCUUAAAAAAAUACCUAUUGGGGAAUAAGAAUGAAAAGUAAUCACCCCUGUUUCUGCAGUGGAAUUCAAGUAUACCAGCUCGUCUAUUUAUUUGACUGUUGUUAGAUUGUUUUAUCCUGGUCUGACGUGUUAAUGGAGUUGUUUCAUUCCUCACACGACCCCUUUCAAUUGGAUCAGUUCUCCUUUUGGGUUACUCUAUAUUCCCUACAUAUAUCUUUAUUAUGUUCAUCGAGACUUCAGAGUAAGACAUUUAUUUUAUUCAUAGUACCUUCAAGGUAACAUGGUACCUACAACGCAGUCGGGCUAAUGGUAAUCAGUUCUAAAUCUAAUCAAGUGUAAGCUUCUCUGUUGUCUGUACUGCAGCCGUGAUGAUCAGAAGUUCAGGACCCCACUGUAGACAGGAAAAAAAGAAUAAUCUUGAUAUCAUUCAGGAUAGUGAAGUCUGCACCAGAAUAUUGACCAACCCCGUGGGAUGCAGUUUUGUUUUAUUUGGAGAUGGAUUGAAAAAAAUCCGAGCUACACUGACCUUGUACAGAGUGUAUCUGAAAAUUUGAGUAACAUCUCCAUAUCACUGAGUCUGAAAAACUAUUGUACCAUCUUUAUUAUACUGGAUUUUAUUCAUUUUGUUCUUUUUUUCGUACCACUCAGUACUUUGAUGUUGUCAUAGGGGACAUCGCUGAUCAAUGGACUCCAUGAUGAGAUAAUCGCCGGCGCCAUCUCUGAUUCUAUUGAUGAGCGCGUACAUACAGCACCGGCAGCCACUUAGUUCAAGGAUGGUAGGAUAGUAACAAAUGUUUAUGGACGACUCCUAAUUAAACUAGAACAAAAAAUUGCUUGCAAUUUUCAUUGGUUGCUGUUGGCAGUGAGGUGCAUGUAAUACAUUGAAAACUUGCUGCUAUGGGCAAAGACAAUAUGCGUGUAUUUGUAGGCUGAGUUGUUUAUUGUUUAUUUUGGUCGCAUCAGGCAAUGUGUGAACUAAGCUUUUGCCAUUGCUGAUCGUGUAUUCUCUCUGUGCUAGGAAGCAUAGUUUCAGCUUAUCCCCUAGAUCAAUAUACUUGGCAUUUGAUAUU
Triticum aestivum (bread wheat) is the source of this 2511-nucleotide long non-coding RNA. RefSeq lists it as uncharacterized. The transcript is spliced from 4 exons. The record is from RefSeq and is a predicted model, not a curated record. Lineage: Eukaryota; Viridiplantae; Streptophyta; Magnoliopsida; Poales; Poaceae.